CCUACGGGCGUCUGCAGUGGGGAAUAUUGGACAAUGGGCGAAAGCCUGAUCCAGCCAUGCCGCGUGUGUGAAGAAGGCCUUCGGGUUGUAAAGCACUUUCAGUGGGGAAGAAAGCCUUGGGGCUAAUACCCUCGAGGAAGGACAUCACCCACAGAAGAAGCACCGGCUAACUCCGUGCCAGCAGCCGCGGUAAUACGGAGGGUGCGAGCGUUAAUCGGAAUUACUGGGCGUAAAGCGCGCGUAGGCGGUCUGAUAAGCCGGUUGUGAAAGCCCCGGGCUCAACCUGGGAACGGCAUCCGGAACUGUCAGGCUAGAGUGCAGGAGAGGAAGGUAGAAUUCCCGGUGUAGCGGUGAAAUGCGUAGAGAUCGGGAGGAAUACCAGUGGCGAAGGCGGCCUUCUGGACUGACACUGACGCUGAGGUGCGAAAGCGUGGGUAGCAAACAGGAUUAGAUACCCGAGUAGUC
Molecule: ribosomal RNA, 465 nt
Filed under: Vreelandella stevensii
Lineage: Bacteria; Pseudomonadati; Pseudomonadota; Gammaproteobacteria; Oceanospirillales; Halomonadaceae
Description: partial 16S ribosomal RNA
Rfam family: Bacterial small subunit ribosomal RNA
Source: RNAcentral